AUUGAACGUUGGCGGCAUGCCUUACACAUGCAAGUCGAACGGUAGCGGGCCUUCGGGUGCCGACGAGUGGCGAACGGGUGAGUAAUGCAUCGGAACGUGCCAUUGAGUGGGGGAUAACGUAGCGAAAGUUACGCUAAUACCGCAUAUUCUGUGAGCAGGAAAGCAGGGGACCGCAAGGCCUUGCGCUCUUUGAGCGGCCGAUGUCAGAUUAGCUAGUUGGUGAGGUAAAGGCUUACCAAGGCGACGAUCUGUAGCGGGUCUGAGAGGAUGAUCCGCCACACUGGAACUGAGACACGGUCCAGACUCCUACGGGAGGCAGCAGUGGGGAAUUUUGGACAAUGGGGGCAACCCUGAUCCAGCCAUGCCGCGUGAGUGAAGAAGGCCUCGGUUGUAAGUAC
This 398-nucleotide ribosomal RNA is filed under the name uncultured bacterium. RNAcentral describes it as "bacterial SSU rRNA". It matches the Rfam family "Bacterial small subunit ribosomal RNA", at positions 30 to 431 of the family's 1533-position model. The record is from RNAcentral.